AGGGCCUCCAUCUGCACCUCGUACUCGCGCUUGGACAAGGCCACGUCCUUGAGGCGCUUCACCACCACGGUCACCCCGUCCUCCAGCACCGCCUUGUACGACGUCCCCAUGCUCCCCUUUCCCAGAACCUCCGCGGAAGCCCGCAGAAGGUCCUCCAGGUCGAAGCCGUAGAGCCCGUUAUCGAAGAACACCAGCUUGUUCUUCUCCACUCCCGCCCGUGCCCCCCCGAUAUCGUCCUUGGAGGACGACGUCGUGGCCGUCUCCGCCGCCCCUCCGCCGGAUCUGGGGAUUGCCGAGGCCCUCUUCGGAGACUUGGCCGGGCCUCGGCCCCGGCGCCUGCGGAAGACCAAGCAGACGAGGAGCAGCAGGAGGGCCAGCAGCAGGACGGCGCCGCAAGCGACGGAAAUCGCGAUGAUCGACGCCGUCGAGAGCUUCUUUUUCUUCUUCCUGUCGGCGGGGACCUGAGCGGGGGUCUCUUCGCCUCCCGGGGACGGCGCCGGAGAUGGAAAGAAGUUU
RNAcentral lists this long non-coding RNA (516 nucleotides) under Spirodela polyrhiza (greater duckweed). RNAcentral's name for it is "long non-coding RNA (SPOL_LNC000761)". Lineage: Eukaryota; Viridiplantae; Streptophyta; Magnoliopsida; Alismatales; Araceae. The record is from RNAcentral.